AUGCAAAGCCGUUCUGAAGCAGAGCCCCCUCGUGGGGCUUCCUCUCACAGGUCUGAGGGGCUCUGUGGUUUUCAUUCUCCUUUUUGUUUUCUCCACCUUCUAAGUCGUUCGCUUCAGCUACUCGAGCCCUCGUGUGGGGAGCAGGUUCUGUUGCUGGGUGGGGCCCACCUGCCCAGCGCUGACACCUGCCACUCGUGUUUGCUCUCCGCACGCUGUCUCAGCUCGGUUCUUCUUUGGGUCCUGCCCAUCCCCGCUGGCCUCAGGAGUGGUUUCUGCCUUCAGCCCAGAGCGUUCCAGAGCCGGGGUCUCUGGGACGCGGCAGAGGAAAGCAGUCAUCUCCUUACCCAUAAGCCACCUCCCUCCACACAGCCUGCUGGGAAGCGUGAUACAGCCUCCGGGGACCUGACAUUGGCCUGGGGAGAAAUGCCACUCGCACGUUACAGGGUUGGCACCGACAGCACCCACUCUUGAAGGGGCAGAGUGGACCAGAGUGCAUUCCAUGCAGAAUUGUUCAAUAUUAGGCUCCAUGCGUGAGCCCUCAGGGCUGUCUUCCGCUUUGUGACGCCUGUGCGCACGGCAGUAAUAAAAUCAUUUUAUAGAUGAAGCCGUUGGGACUU
Molecule: long non-coding RNA, 617 nt
Filed under: Oryctolagus cuniculus (rabbit)
Lineage: Eukaryota; Metazoa; Chordata; Mammalia; Lagomorpha; Leporidae
Description: lncRNA (ENSOCUG00000030102.1)
Source: RNAcentral